CAAUAGCGUAUAUUAAAGUUGUUGCAGUUAAAAAGCUCGUAGUUGGAUUUCUGGUCGGAAGCUCCUGUCCUCUGAUGAGCGUACAAGUGCGUCCUACCAUCCUUCUGUUAACCUUUAAGGCUUUCGCGGCUUUCUAGGGGCUCAGAUAUUUUACCUUGAGAAAAUUAGAGUGUUUCAGGCAGGCUAGCGCCGGAAUACAGUAGCAUGGAAUAAUGGAAUAGGACUUUUGCCUCUUCUGUUGGUCAUGAGGCUCGAGUAAUGAUUAAUAGGGAUAGUUGGGGGCAUUAGUACUUAACUGUCAGAGGUGAAAUUCUCGGAUUUGUUAAAGACUAACUUAUGCGAAAGCAUUUGCCAAGGAUGUUUUCAUUAA
This 370-nucleotide ribosomal RNA is filed under the name uncultured eukaryote. Its description in RNAcentral is "partial 18S ribosomal RNA". It matches the Rfam family "Eukaryotic small subunit ribosomal RNA", at positions 592 to 976 of the family's 1831-position model. The record is from RNAcentral.